RNAcentral lists this ribosomal RNA (675 nucleotides) under uncultured bacterium. Its description in RNAcentral is "bacterial SSU rRNA". It matches the Rfam family "Bacterial small subunit ribosomal RNA", at positions 28 to 708 of the family's 1533-position model. The record is from RNAcentral.
GAUGAACGCUAGCGGCAGGCCUAAUACAUGCAAGUCGAACGGUCAGUAGCAAUACUGAUAGUGGCGCACGGGUGCGUAACACGUAACUAACCUACCUAUAACUGGGGGAUAGCCCGCCGAAAGGCGGAUUAAUACCGCAUAAGCUAGUUAAACGGCAUCGUUUGAUUAGUAAAGAUUUAUUGGUUAUAGAUGGGGUUGCGGGUCAUUAGCUAGUUGGUAAGGUAACGGCUUACCAAGGCGACGAUGACUAGGGGAGCUGAGAGGCUGGUCCCCCACACGGGCACUGAGAUACGGGCCCGACUCCUACGGGAGGCAGCAGUAGGGAAUAUUGGGCAAUGGGCGAGAGCCUGACCCAGCCAUGCCGCGUGCAGGAAGAAGGCUUUCUGAGUCGUAAACUGCUUUUGACAGGGAAGAAUAAGCACUACGUGUAGUGCGAUGACGGUACCUGCAGAAUAAGCACCGGCUAACUCCGUGCCAGCAGCCGCGGUAAUACGGAGGGUGCGAGCGUUGUCCGGAUUUAUUGGGUUUAAAGGGUGCGUAGGCGGCCCGUUAAGUCCGGGGUGAAAGCCCGCUGCUNCACAGCGGAACUGCCCUGGAUACUGACGGGCUUGAGUACAGACGAGGUUGGCGGAAUGGACUGAGUAGCGGUGAAAUGCAUAGAUACAGUCCAGAACC